This 5900-nucleotide small RNA is filed under the name Pongo abelii (Sumatran orangutan). RNAcentral's name for it is "retained intron". Lineage: Eukaryota; Metazoa; Chordata; Mammalia; Primates; Hominidae. The record is from RNAcentral.
GUGGAGACCCUGGGUCUGCAUGGGGGUCACGUGAGCUGCCUGUAGCCAGCAGGGGGGAGGGCUGGGUGCUGUCCUGAGGAUGCAGGUGCAAAUGUCCAUUUCUGGGCCACCUGUGUGUAUCAGCAUCUGCAGAGGGGCCUGGGGUCUGGCUUCUGGGGUUGGCACCCCCAGGGGCUCUGCCAUGGCUGCACAAGGUGGUGAUAUUUCCUCUGUGCCUGCUGGGUGUGGGGCAGUGCCACCCUGUCCCAUCCCACCUCAUCAGCACAGAAUGAAGCUGGUCCUAUACUCAUCAUCUGUGCACAUGAGGAAACUGAGGCCCCAAGAGGGGAGCCCAAGGUCAUAUUACUGGGGACCUGUGGGCUGGGGUCUGAGCCCAGCACUGUGGCUUCAAGCCCACAUCUGCCCUAGGAGGGCCCAGGAGGCCCUGUGAUAUCAAUACCCUGUGAUGACAGUCCCCUGUGAUGUCAUUCCCCCGUGGUGGCAUUCCCCCGCAAUGUUAUCCCCCGUGACAUCAUUCCCCUGUGAUGUCAUCCAUGUGACAUCAUUCCUGUGCUGUCACCACCUGAUGUCAUCCCCUGUGGUAUCACCUCUGUGAUGUCAAUACCCCUUUUAAUGUCAUCCCCAUGAUGUCAUUCCCCCCGUGAUGCCAUCCCCCAUGAUGUUAGUCCCCCAUGAUGCCAUCCCCCCAUGAUGUUAGCCCCCGUGAUGUCAAUUUCCCAUGAUGUCAUCCCCGUAAUGUUAUCCCCCAUGAUGUCAUUCCCCCAUGAUGCCAGUGUGAUGUCAUUCUGUGAUGUCACCCCCCAUGAUGCCAUUCCCCUGCAAUGUCAUGCCCCUGUGAUGUCAUCCCCCCAUGUGAUGUCAGUAUCCCAUGAUGUCACCCCUGUGAUGUCAUGCAUGUGAUGUCAUCCCGUGAUAUCAUUCCCAUGAUGUCUCCCCCAUGAUGUCAUUCCCCAUGUGAUGUCACCCGUUAUGUCAUUCAUGUGACAUCAUCCCAUGAUAUCAUUCCCGUGAUGUCUCCCCUAUGAUGUCAUUCCCCAUGUGAUGUCAAUCUCCCACGAUGUCACUCCUCUGACAUCAUCCUCUGUGAUGUCUCGCCCAUGAUGUCAUCCCCCAUGGCGUCAUCCUUGGUUGUGGGGGGUUGUGGGAUCCCCUCCUCUCCCCUCCCGUGGGGUCUUCCUGGCUGGUGGGGAGAGGUGGCCUGGCCUGGGUGCUGCAGCAGCUGCUCUGGAAGGUGCCUGGGUUCUUGGGGGCCUUGGCCCAUGCCAUCCCCUGGACUGUGUGGAGCCGUCCAGGGCCCAGCUUCUGUUGGGGGGUGGGCACAAGUCAGAAUCAAGUGCAUCUGGUCAGAUGCUGCCAGGGCCAAGGAUGCAGCUGCCUGUGGCCUGGCCUUGGUGUGGAGCCAGAGUCUUGCUCAGGGACUGAGGGGACCCAGAUGGUGGGGAAGGCUCCGGAGCAUGUGACCGGUGACCAUCCUGCUGUGGACAGACCUCCUGGGCUGAGUGUUGGUCGGGCCCGGGCCAUGCACCUAGACGAUGUCCUUUGACCAAUGGGGAGGGUCUGGGGCUGGGUGUGGCUGUGUCCCUUGGCUGCUGGGCCAGUGUGGUCCAGGGCACUCUAGGGACUCCCUGUGUUCUGACUUGAGUGGAGCUCUUCAGGCUGAAGGGGCAGUGGCCCUGUGUCUCCUCGGAGCUUGCAGGUCCUCUCGGAGGCCCAGAGGGAGCCAGAGGAGGGCAGAGUCACUGCUACCUCCUCAUGGUAUGGAAUUGACUGAGCCCAUGCUGGGGUCUGGAGGCCCCAAAGGAAUGAGGCCUGUGGCCAGGGGCCGGCCCAGGAGCUGGGGUGGCUUUCAGGGGAGAGGCUGGCAGUGCUGGGAGGUAAGUGGUGAUGUGCUCGGCAGCCUCAGUGCUCCCUUAGGAGGGUCUAAGAUCCCACCUCGAACCUUUCUGGGCUAUCCAGAGCCACGAAGAGGGGCCAGGUGGCCUUGGUGUGUGGGAUUAGGUGCUCCAGCCCUGCCUGGAAGUCCCUUGGGGGCUGGGCCACAGCCAAGAAGAGUACUGUUGUGCCUGUGCUAAGGCCACUGUACGUGCAGAGCUGGACCCAGAACCUUGUCCAAGGUCCCCGGGCAGUCUCACCAGGAGGUGUCUAGAGCUGGCCACAUGGAGUGGCACGCCUCCAGGGUGGGGGACUGUGAGAAGACAGUGGUGUGGGCCCUUGGUCUGUGCCUCCCAUGGGACGGCUGCUUCAAUAGCAUCUGUGCCCACUCCUGCCCAUAGUCCACCCACCGCUGACCCCUGGACUUGGCUGGCAGAUUUUCACACCUUCUCCUGGGGGCAGGCCUCAGCUUGUCCCCACCCCAGUCAGAGCCAGCCUCACUCCCUGCCUCAGGCAGCUGUGUAUGUUUUAAUUUUAAUUUAUUUACAUAUUAAUGAGACAGAGUCUCACUCUGUCUCCCAGGCUGGAGUGCAGUGGCACCAUUUUGGCUCACUGCAACCUCCACCUCCUGGGUUCAAGCCAUUCUCCUGCCUCAGCCUUCCGAGAAGCUGAGAUUACAGGCGCUCGCCACCAUUCCUGGCUAAUUUUUGUAUUUUUAGUAGAGACGAGGUUUCACCAUGUUGGCCAGGCUGGUCUUGAACUCCUAACCUCAGGUGACCUGCCUGCCUCUGCCUUCCAAAGUGCUGGGAUUACAGGCAUGAGCCACCACCUAUAAUUUUAAUUUUUAACAAAACUGAGAACUUGAGGAUUGAAUUCAGGUAACGGGUGGUCAUGUGGACGUGGAUUCCAUGAAAGAGGGCUUUGUCCUCACUGUCGGUUCUCCACACGUAGGUCCUUUGACUCAGCAGACCUUAGGCCUAGUCCACAGGUGCUGAGUGAACAGCCCCAGCAUCUGACAGCUCCUUAGCUUGGGGUGCACAGGCCGCUGAAGCAGUAGGAUGGCAGCUCAGGCUUCCCAGGGCCCCACGUGUGCAGGGGUGGCCUCCCAGCACCACCAGGCAGGGCCCUGUGAGUGUCCCCUACCUGACACACACCUUGUAGAGAGGCUGGGCCUGGGCAGGCCCCUCUGCUGCACCACAUCCCAUUCUCAAGAGGGUCCCGGGUCCCAAAGGAAGCCUGUAGCCCAGUGGCUUUCUGGAGGUUUGCAUGGCUGGCAAGCCUGGGCCAGCUACUGGAGAGGCAUCAGGACAGGAGCAACUCUGCUGACUGCUCCCCUCAGCGAGCUCUAAGAGUCUUUAGGUGGGAGGCACAUCACAUCCCUGUCACUCCUGGCUGGCCCUGGAAUGCCUCAGCCCGCACACCCCACUCCAGCCAGGGCUGUGGGAACUGUGUCUGCUCAGGUGCAAAAGGCUUUGUUUGCUCUUGGACUUCUUGGUUCUGACCUGGGCUUCCCGCCUCCUACGCUAUGAGCCCACACAGGCUGGGACCGCAGCUUGCCAUAUGUCUCUCAGUGGCACCAAGUGGACGCUCGAGGCUUAUGUUGAGGGAGUGAGAGCCAGGAUGGGCCACUGGGCGUGCUGGGAGCCUACACAGGCAGGGAGCCCAGCAGGAGGUUCCCUGCUCCUGCCAGUCCUGGUUACCCCAGCAGGCUCGGGAGCCACUCACAGCCCCCACUUCCACUCCCCAGGCACUCCCCGUGUGCCUACCUGCCCUUGUCCUGGGCCAGCUUGGCUCCUACCUCCCAGCUCUGAGGAGGCCUCUGCAGGUAGCUGACCUCCCUGGACAAGGGGGCAGCUGCCUUCUCUCACCUGGGCUCCCUGGGGAGGGCUGGAAUAGAAGGGCCAGGCUGGGCUCACUGUGAGCCAGGUCCUCUCAACCCAGGAUGAAUGGCCUUUCUGAAGGCCCAGAGAGCAUGCCUGCCCCAGUGUGGGAGCUGCGUCUGCUCCCCACCUGACAGUGUUGGCCAAGAGCCCAGCGUUCCUGGAGGGCUCCCAAACUCUGGACCGGUCCCUAAGGGAAAAGCCUGACUCUAAGCCCCAGGUGGCUGAACCCAUCACUGCCAGGGCGAGCUGUCACCUCUGUGAGCUGAUGAGGCCCUGCUUUUAGGACCUCUAAUCUCUGCAAGAACCCAAGCUGGCUCUGCCUGUCUCUCCUGAGCAGCUCGCAGUGUUCACCACACUCCAGCACGACUCGGGACAGGCACGUGCGCCCCUCUAUGCACCAGCUGGAGUCCCUCAGGACACCUGGCUGGAGCUGACGGGCAUGGGCGGGUGUGUGCAAGCAUGAGCCCGCAGGUCUGUGAGCUUCGUCUCCCUUUCCUUCUUCGCAGUGUACUAAUGGUCACUUGAUGUGCGCUGGCUGUUUUAUCCACCUACUAGCAGAUGCCCGGCUGAAGGAGGAGCAGGCCACGUGCCCCAAUUGUCGUUGUGAGAUCAGUAAGAGCCUCUGCUGCCGGAACCUGGCCGUGGAGAAAGCCGUGAGCGAGCUGCCUUCAGAGUGUGGCUUCUGCCUGCGCCAGUUUCCCCGCUCCCUCCUGGAGAGGCACCAGAAAGAGGAAUGCCAGGACAGGGUAACCCAGUGCAAGUACAAACGCAUCGGCUGCCCAUGGCACGGCCCCUUCCACGAGCUGACGGUGCACGAGGCUGCGUGCGCCCACCCAACCAAGACAGGCAGCGAGCUGAUGGAGAUCCUGGAUGGGAUGGACCAGAGCCACCGCAAGGAGAUGCAGCUGUACAACAGCAUCUUCAGCCUGCUCAGCUUCGAGAAGAUUGGCUACACAGAGGUCCAGUUCCGGCCAUACCGCACGGACGACUUCAUCACGCGCCUGUACUAUGAGACGCCCAGGUUCACGGUGCUGAACCAAACGUGGGUCCUGAAGGCUCGCGUCAACGACUCGGAGCGUAACCCCAACCUGUCCUGCAAGCGUACGCUCUCCUUCCAGCUCCUCCUCAAGAGCAAGGUCACAGCACCGCUGGAGUGCUCCUUCCUGCUGCUCAAGGGCCCCUACGACGACGUGAGGAUUAGCCCCGUCAUCUACCACUUUGUCUUCACCAACGAGAGCAACGAGACGGACUACGUGCCACUGCCCAUCAUUGACUCCGUGGAGUGCAACAAGCUGCUGGCCGCCAAGAACAUCAACCUGCGGCUCUUCCUGUUCCAGAUACAGAAGUAGGGCAGGGCCUCAGGACGCCCGAGGAGCCGACGGGCGGCAUCCCAGCACCGCUGCCCUGUCCACCUGGCUGGCAGCUGCUUCACAGGACUAUCUGAUCACUUUAGCAAAGGAGGAGAACAAACGAAGCCAACACAGGGCAAGUCUGCAUGCGUGCGCGACGGGGCCCCCGUCUCCGGCUCACCCCCCCACCCCUGCCUCCCCUCCUUCCGAGGGCCACCAGAGGCUGGGCUGACCCGAAGAGGAGACGGUGCACCAGGCGCCCCGAGGCUCAGAGACGGUGGCAGCAAGGAGGCCGAGGGGCACAGCGACCCUGCCCCAGCCCUUCUGUGCGGUCAGGCGGCGGUGCUGCUCCAUCCCUGCGGGUUCCGGCCGGGCGCGGGGGCCUUGCUGACGUCAGAUGGGAUAUCCGAAUAUCUGAUAGCAAUUAAAAGGCAGCCUUGUUUCGUACUUUCUGUUUUGUUCGAGGGGAAGGCAUGGCUGUGAAUGGACAGCGUGGGAGCUUUGGUUUGGCCUGGGGGUCAGAGCCUGCCCCGUCCCCAUCUCUGUUCCCGCACACGUCCCCUGAGGAAAGACUCAGAGACACUGCCUCCCCCUACACUCUGUCAAGGGGUCUUGAGACUGAGGCUUGGGCAGGGAGAUCCAGGUAGGGUCGGGGCUGCCCUGGCCAACCGGCCGCUUCCAGGGAGACAGGACUCAGCCACCAGGGCUCAGCAGACAUUUUCGGAAAGCAGGGUGAAAUUGUCUCUUCCCAGGAAAAAGAUUAAACUCCUUGCAGGUUCUUCGAUAAGUUACACAA